Molecule: ribosomal RNA, 253 nt
Filed under: uncultured bacterium
Lineage: Bacteria
Description: partial 16S ribosomal RNA
Rfam family: Bacterial small subunit ribosomal RNA
Source: RNAcentral
UACGUAGGGUGCGAGCGUUAAUCGGAAUUACUGGGCGUAAAGCGUGCGCAGGCGGUUAUAUAAGACAGUUGUGAAAUCCCUGGGCUCAACCUAGGAAUUGCAUCUGUGACUGUAUAGCUAGAGUACGGUAGAGGGGGAUGGAAUUCCGCGUGUAGCAGUGAAAUGCGUAGAUAUGCGGAGGAACACCGAUGGCGAAGGCAAUCCCCUGGACCUGUACUGACGCUCAUGCACGAAAGCGUGGGGAGCAAACAGG